AUAUGAUGCUUAUCAUUACUUAUAAACUGCAGUUUUCACUAAAGAAAUAGGGAUAACAUUACAAAGCAUUAAGAAAUAACUCUUACCAAGUCAGAACCACACCAAUGGCAAAAGCACAUGAUCACAAACCGCUAAAUAUUGGACAAAGACCAAAACCCUGAGCAUGGGAGAGGCUGAAAGCACAAUGAAAAACACUUCAAGUUAAGGAUGAGUGAAAGAAGCUGACGUGGAAGCCAGGGAUACUAAUGGCAGGCAUUAUUUUCCAGAAAGGUCCUGGGUAAGAGGUCAUUGUUCUGUAUCACGCUGAGUUUUUACUGCAAGAAACCUAUGAAAAGUACCCAUUACUAAUAGCACUCAGGAGAAUAGAAGAGAUGGAAAUAAAGGAGGCAAGAAUGGUUUACAGAUCCAGCUGAAACCGAAUGGAAGGAAAGGCAGUGGAUUUCAUCAAGAUCCUACAGACAAGGUGUAAGAUCUGUAAUUUCGAAAGGACAUAUACACAAACUCAUUCAGCCACAUUCCAGUCUAGAAUUAACAUGAAGAAAAUCUAUUAACAAUGGUAAAGCUUUUUUCCUCUCCAAAUGAAUAUGGCAAUACCCAUUCUGGAGAACUCUUAUUCUCUGUUGAAAUAACACCACUUUUCUAUAUGGCCAUCUAGCAAUAAAUAUAAAAAUGGUUAAUUUGCA
Molecule: long non-coding RNA, 683 nt
Filed under: Homo sapiens (human)
Lineage: Eukaryota; Metazoa; Chordata; Mammalia; Primates; Hominidae
Description: HSALNT0389348
Source: RNAcentral